GCGGCGCGCCUAACACAUGCAAGUCGAACGAGCGAGAGAGAGCUUGCUUUCUCAAGCGAGUGGCGAACGGGUGAGUAACGCGUGAGGAACCUGCCUCAAAGAGGGGGACAACAGUUGGAAACGACUGCUAAUACCGCAUAAGCCCACAGGUCGGCAUCGACCGGAGGGAAAAGGAGCAAUCCGCUUUGAGAUGGCCUCGCGUCCGAUUAGCUAGUUGGUGAGGUAACGGCCCACCAAGGCAACGAUCGGUAGCCGGACUGAGAGGUUGAACGGCCACAUUGGGACUGAGACACGGCCCAGACUCCUACGGGAGGCAGCAGUGGGGAAUAUUGCACAAUGGGGGAAACCCUGAUGCAGCGACGCCGCGUGGAGGAAGAAGGUCUUCGGAUUGUAAACUCCUGUUGUUGAGGAAGAUAAUGACGGUACUCAACAAGGAAGUGACGGCUAACUACGUGCCAGCAGCCGCGGUAAAACGUAGGUCACAAGCGUUGUCCGGAAUUACUGGGUGUAAAGGGAGCGCAGGCGGGAAGACAAGUUGGAAGUGAAAUCUAUGGGCUCAACCCAUAAACUGCUUUCAAAACUGUUUUUCUUGAGUAGUGCAGAGGUAGGCGGAAUUCCCGGUGUAGCGGUGGAAUGCGUAGAUAUCGGGAGGAACACCAGUGGCGAAGGCGGCCUACUGGGCACCAACUGACGCUGAGGCUCGAAAGUGUGGGUAGCAAACAGGAUUAGAUACCCUGGUAGUCCACACCGUAAACGAUGAUUAAUGGGUGUUGGAGGAUUGACCCCUCCGUGCCGCAGUUAACCAAUAAGUAUCCACCUGGGGAGUACGACCGCAGGGUGAAACUCAAGGAAUUGACGGGGGCCCGCACAAGCAGUGGAGUAUGUGGUUUAAUUCGACGCAACGCGAAGAACCUUACCAAGUCUUGACAUCCUGCGACGCACAUAGAAAUAUGUGUUUCCUUCGGGACGCAGAGACAGGUGGUGCAUGGUUGUCGUCAGCUCGUGUCGUGAGAUGUUGGGUUAAGUCCCGCAACGAGCGCAACCCUUACUGUCAGUUACUACGCAAGAGGACUCUGGCAGGACUGCCGUUGACAAAACGGAGGAAGGUGGGGAUGACGUCAAAUCAUCAUGCCCUUUAUGACUUGGGCUACACACGUACUACAAUGGCGUUAAACAAAGAGAAGCAAGACCGCGAGGUGGAGCAAAACUCAGAAACAACGUCCCAGUUCGGACUGCAGGCUGCAACUCGCCUGCACGAAGUCGGAAUUGCUAGUAAUCGUGGAUCAGCAUGCCACGGUGAAUACGUUCCCGGGCCUUGUACUAACGGCCCGUC
RNAcentral lists this ribosomal RNA (1333 nucleotides) under uncultured bacterium. RNAcentral describes it as "bacterial SSU rRNA". It matches the Rfam family "Bacterial small subunit ribosomal RNA", at positions 39 to 1398 of the family's 1533-position model. The record is from RNAcentral.